CCUACGGGUGGCAGCAGUGAGGAAUAUUGGUCAAUGGACGAGAGUCUGAACCAGCCAAGUAGCGUGAAGGAUGACUGCCCUAUGGGUUGUAAACUUCUUUUAUAUGGGAAUAAAACGUUCCACGUGUGGGAUUUUGUAUGUACCAUAUGAAUAAGGAUCGGCUAACUCCGUGCCAGCAGCCGCGGUAAUACGGAGGAUCCGAGCGUUAUCCGGAUUUAUUGGGUUUAAAGGGAGCGUAGGUGGAUUGUUAAGUCAGUUGUGAAAGUUUGAGGCUCAACCGUAAAAUUGCAGUUGAAACUGGCAGUCUUGAGUACAGUAGAGGUGGGCGGAAUUCGCGGUGUAGCGGUGAAAUGCUUAGAUAUCACGAAGAACUCCGAUUGCGAAGGCAGUUCACUGGACUGAAACUGACACUGAGGCUCGAAAGUGUGGGUAUCAAACAGGAUUAGAUACCCGAGUAGUC
This 460-nucleotide ribosomal RNA is filed under the name uncultured bacterium. RNAcentral describes it as "partial 16S ribosomal RNA". It matches the Rfam family "Bacterial small subunit ribosomal RNA", at positions 338 to 795 of the family's 1533-position model. The record is from RNAcentral.